UAGAUCUGUAGGUGCUCUGGAAGCUUGUUUUAUUUCUUUUCCCACCCCUGAUUGAUGUAAACAGAGGUUACCCAAUGCUGGCCCAACCGUUGGUUUAAUCAAGUGCUCGGCACUAGAAUAUUGCAGCCACCCGUAAUUUCAGCUGACCUGUUUGUUUUAUCGGGACAUUACUUUUACUAGAAACUAUGGCCAUACACUGCGUCCAGCAUUCGACUCCCAAUUUUCUUUCGCAACUUGCCAGUUUAUCUAUUCAAGUUCAGAUCAACCCGCUCCGAGUGUGUAUGUUUAUAUCAGUAAAAAGCCUAGUUUAUUCAAAGCAAAAAAAAAAAAAAAAGACCUAGUUUACUGCACUCAGAGCAUGUGAACGGCAUCGGUCAUUGUGCCAGUCAAUGAGCUGAUCAGAUUCUUAGCCUAAAAUAAUCGCCACAUACCGACAAAACCAAUGUUAAAUAAUUGUCACCUGCCAUUGGUUGCAGCACAUCGCACGUUCGGAAAGCUUGUGCAGUCUCUUAUUUAAUUUUU
RNAcentral lists this long non-coding RNA (522 nucleotides) under Phoenix dactylifera (date palm). RNAcentral's name for it is "long non-coding RNA (PDAC_LNC022190)". The record is from RNAcentral. Lineage: Eukaryota; Viridiplantae; Streptophyta; Magnoliopsida; Arecales; Arecaceae.